UCGGGAAUUUUGGGCAAUGGGCGAAAGCCUGACCCAGCAACGCCGCGUGAAGGAUGAAGUAUUUCGGUAUGUAAACUUCGAAAGAAUAGGAAGAAUUAAUGACGGUACUAUUUAUAAGGUCCGGCUAACUACGUGCCAGCAGCCGCGGUAAUACGUAGGGACCAAGCGUUGUUCGGAUUUACUGGGCGUAAAGGGCGCGUAGGCGGCAUGACAAGUCACUUGUGAAAUCUCCGGGCUUAACUCGGAACGGCCAAGUGAUACUGUCAAGCUAGAGUGCAGAAAGGGCAAUCGGAAUUCUUGGUGUAGCGGUGAAAUGCGUAGAUAUCAAGAGGAACACCUGAGGCGAAGGCGGGGUGCUAGGCUGACACUGACGCUGACAGCGCGAAAGCCAGGGGAGCAAACGG
Molecule: ribosomal RNA, 404 nt
Filed under: uncultured bacterium
Lineage: Bacteria
Description: bacterial SSU rRNA
Rfam family: Bacterial small subunit ribosomal RNA
Source: RNAcentral